CCUGGCCGGCGGGUUGUACCCCGCCCCUGCCAGGGUCGGUGGUGCUGGCGCGCCGACUGGCGGCCGGUGGGCUGCCCUGUGCGUGUCUCUUUAAGGGGCUGGGCCUGCAAGGCUGCAGGGCGGGCGGGGUGCGCGUCGCUUCGGGAGUGAGUGUGUGAGGGUGAGAGCGGCGGGCGGGCGGUUGCUGGAGGGAGGGAGGGAGGGAGGGAGCGAGCGAGAGAGCGAGAGAGCGGGCGGGCGGGCCAGCCAGCCAGCCAGCGACGCCGGCCGCCCCUGCCGCCGCCGCGAUCGGACCAGCGGCCGCCUCCCCUCCGGUCCCCUCCCCCGCAUCGGCCUGCCGCGGGGAGGGGGCUAGCGUCGCCGCCUCCAGCCGCUCCUCAUGAAGCCGCUGCCGUCGCAGCAGCCGCCACCGAAGAUGGGGGAUUUCUACGAUCCCGAGCACCCGACCCCUGACAUGUUUUCUUGGCUGAAUGGGAGUAGAGAAGAAGAAAAUGAGACAUAUCACAAACAGGCAAAGAUUGAAAAUGUGCAGAAAACAGGUUUCAUCAAAGGACCAGUGUUCAAAGGUGUUGCUUCAAGUCGAUUUUUGCCCAAAGGCACGAAGACAAAAGUUAAUUUGGAGGAACAGGGACGGCAAAAGGUGUCAUUCAGCUUCAGUUUUACAAAGAAAACUUUACAGAAUAGAUUUCUCACUGCGCUUAGCAAUGAAAAGCAAAGUGAUUCUCCAAACUCCCCAGCUCCCCCUCUUCAAGUAGACUCAAACCCUAAAGUUAAAAUGGACGCUGGAGAUACUUUUCCUGCUACAGAAGAAUCUUCGCCACCAAAAUCGAGAGUGGAAUUGGGCAGAAUUCAUUUUAAGAAACAUUUGCUUCAUGUGACAUCUAGGCCACAGCUGGCUGCAAGUACAACAGCAGCAUCUCCCCUUCCUCCUACAACACAGUUACCAGCAGUCUUAGCAGAGUCGAUGAUAGACUCACCACCUUCAUCUCCACCCCCACCUCCUCCACCUCCCCAGGCCUCAUCACCCUCACCACCAGCACAGAUAUCAGAGCCAGUGGCCUUGCCGCAACCCCCAGCAACAGCACUAAUGACAUCACCACCAGGACCUUUACCAGGAGACGUAGCCGUGAGAGCUCAGAAAGAAUCACCAGUUAAAAGUGGACCCGAAGUUUUAGAGGUGGAUACAAAGCAAGAUAUUGUAUCUAAUAGUUUGGAAGAACACACAGUUCAAACUUUGAAGGAACAAGCAGAUCAUCUCCUGCAAAAAGAAGAUUCCCAUAUUGGGAAGGAAGAAGAGGUUUCAGAUGGCUCUAAGAUAAGCCUCAGUUCUAAAAAAGCAAGUUCUAAGAAGAAAUCUUCACAAUUUGAAGGCACAUUUCUUGGUUCAGAGUCUGAUGAAGAUUCUGUACGGACUUCUUCCAGUCAAAGAUCACAUGAUUUAAAAUCUUCAACAAGCAUUGACAAGGAAAGAGAUUUUAAGAAGAGCUCAGCACCUUCAAAAAGUGAGGAUUUGGGGAAAUCAUCAAGAUCGAAAACAGAGAGAGAUGAUAGAUAUUGUAGCUACUCAAAACUUGAACGAGAUACUCGGUAUGUAUCUUCCCGAUGUCGGUCCGAAAGAGAUCGAAGGCGAAGCCGAUCUCGUUCUAGAUCUGACAGAGCCUCUAGAACUAGUUUGUCUUAUUCUCGCUCAGAAAGAUCUCAUUAUUAUGAUUCUGAACGGCGCUACCAUAGGAGUUCCCCUUAUCGUGAGAGGACACGCUAUUCUCGGCCAUAUACUGAUAACAGGGCACGGGAGAGCUCAGACUCUGAAGAUGAGUAUAAGAAGACAUACCCACGGCGUACCUCAGCCCAUUCCUACAGAGACCUAAGGACAUCAUCAUCUUACUCUAAAUUUGAUCGGGACUGUAAAACUGAGACCUCUUACUUAGAGAUGGAGAGAAGAGGAAAGUAUACUUCAAAACUAGAAAGAGAAUCCAAACGGACUUCAGAGCAUGAAACCAUAAAAAGAUGUUGUUCUCCCCCAAAUGAACUGGGAUUCCGACGGGGGUCAUCAUAUUCCAAGCAUGAUAACAGUACUUCCCGUUAUAAAUCUGCCCUUUCAAAAUCUAUAUCCAAGAAUGAUAAAUUUAAAAAUUCUUUCUGUUGUACAGAAUUAAAUGAGGAAAACAAACAAUCUCAUUCGUUUAGUUUGCAGACUCCUUGUUCAAAAGGUAGUGAAUUAAGAACAAUUAAUAAGAUUUCUGAAAGAGAAAAGACUGGGUCUCCAACUCCAUCAAAUCAAUUAAACGAUUCACCUACUUUUAAAAAGCUAGAUGAAUCUCCUGUUCUUAAGCCUGAAUUUAUAGGACACGAUGGCCGUGAAAGUAUUAAAGAAUUGGAGUUAUCAAAAGUGAAAAAUGAUCAAUUAAGAAAUUUUUGUUCCAUUGAAUUAAAUGUAAACGGAUCUCCAGAGACAGAAGCUGAUGUGGCAACAUUUUGUACUUCUAAGACAGAUGCUAUAUCAAUGACUUCUGAUGAUAGUGUGACUGGAUCAGAGGUAUCCCCUUUGAUCAAGGCUUGCAUGCUUUCAUCAAAUGGAUUUCAGAAUGUUGGUAGAUGCAGAGAAAGGGACUCAGAUGAUACUUGUAGGCAGCAUAAUACGUCAAAAAGUCCAUUUAGGGAAAUGGAACCUUUGUUGUCACCACACCAUGAUAAACUCAUGUCUUUGCCAGUUAAGACUAUAGAUUAUCCCAAAACAUUAAUUAAAGAACCAGUUGAUAAGAGACAUUCUUGCUGCAAAACCAAAGAUUCAGAUAUAUACUGUUCUCCAAAUGAAAACCCUGAAGCUGAGAACGCUGAACCUUCAGCUAUGACGAUUUCUUCACAUAGCUUUGUGAAUGUGCAUUUGGAAUCCAAGACAGUUAUAUGUGAUAAUAGGGAGCCGACAGACCGGCACUCAGAGAAUACAUGUGAUGAAUAUAAGCAGAGCAUUGGUAGCACUAGUUCAGCUUCUCAUAACCAUUUUGAUGGUUUGUAUGAGCCUAUAGGGAGUUCAGGUAUUUCAUCUCUCCAGAGUCCUCCGUCAGGAAUAAGAUGUGAAGAAAACACAUCUCCAACUCUAGAUGCAGUGGAGAGUAAAAAAGGCAUAGAUUUUUUAAAGUAUGCACGGAAAGAAACAGAUGUUGGUAGUGCCCUUCCUGAUUCAGGAAAAGGAUUUUCUUGGGAAAACAGGCAUAAUAAUGUGUUAUCUGGGCAGUCUUUGCAAGAGGCUCAAGAAGAAGGGAAUUCCAUAUUGCAUGAGAGAAGAGGAAGACCAGAAAUCCCCUUAGAUGAGGAACAAAGAGGCCAUACACAUAUUUCUGAUGAUUCAGAAGUGGUAUUUCCUUAUGAUUUGAACUUGACCAUGGAAGACAGUGAUGGUAUAACCUACACCUUAAAAUGUGAUAGUAGUGGAAAUGCUCCAGAGAUUGUAUCUACUGUCCAUGAAGACUAUUCUGGAUCUUCUGCAAGUUCAAGCGAUGAAAGUGAUUCUGAAGAUACAGAGUCUGAUGAUAGCAGUAUUCCAAGAAACCGACUCCAGUCUGUUGUGGUUGUGCCAAAGAAUUCUACUUUGCCCAUGGAAGAGACAAGUCCCUGUUCUUCUCGGAGCAGUCAGAGCUACAAACAUUAUUCUGACCGCUGGGAAGAUGGAUUAGAGACCAGGAGACAUGCAUAUGAGGAAGAGUAUGAGAGUAAAGGCUGUUCUCAAACUGAAAAAUACUUCCUUCAUAAAGGAACAGAGAGAAGUGCAGAAAGUUGUUAUUCACAGUUUGGCAGGAAAGCAGAUAAUCACCUGCCUGACAUUGCUCAUGCUCAGAGUGACGGGGUUGAUAGUACAAGUCAGACAGACUCGAGAUCUGACCAUCUAGGUCACCUGAAUCCAGAGGACACAUUAAGAGCCAAAACAUCUAGGCCACAAGAGCUACCAGUUUAUUCUGACGAUUUUGAAGAUCUCCCAAAUAAGUCUCGGCAGCAGAUGAUUUUCUCUAAUCGGCCAGAUAGUAGUAGACUAGGAAAAACAGAGCUGAGUUUUUCUUCCUCUUGUGACAUUUCCCGAAUGGAUGGCUUGCACUCAUCAGAAGAGCUCAGAAACCUAGGGUGGGACUUUUCCCAACAGGAAAGGCCCACCACCACAUACCAGCAGCCUGACAGCAGCUAUGGAACCUGUGGUACACAUAAGUAUCAACAAAGUACUGAACACUAUGGUGGGACCCAUAAUUACUGGCAAGGCAAUGGCUAUUGGGAUCCAAGAUCAGCAGGUAGACCUCCAGGAACUGGGCUUGCUUAUGAUCGAAUCCAAGGGCAAGUACCAGAUUCUCUAACAGACGAUCGUGAAGAAGAGGAACAUUGGGAUCAACGAAGUGGAUCACAUUUUUCAAGCCCGUCCAAUAAAUUUUUCUUCCAUCAGAAGGACAAGGGAUCAGUGCAAGCACCGGAAAUAAGCAGCAAUUCAAUUAAAGACGCUUUAGUUAUGAACGAAAGGAAAGAUUUUUCGAAAAACUUUGAAAAAAAUGAUAUAAAAGAGAGAGGGCCUCCUAAAAAACGAAGGCAAGAGUUGGAGAGUGAUUCUGAAAGUGAUGGUGAACUACAGGCUAGAAAGAAAGUUAGAGUGGAGAUGGAGCAGGGAGAAUCAUCUGUGCCCCAGCACUCAGAACUGAUGGGGCCUUCGUGUGCUAUGGAUGACUUCAGGGACCCACAGCGGUGGAAAGAAUUUGCCAAGCUGGGGAAGAUGCCAUGUUACUUUGAUCUUAUUGAAGAAAAUGUUUAUUUAACAGAAAGGAAGAAGAACAAAUCCCACCGGGAUAUUAAGCGAAUGCAGUGUGAGUGUACACCUCUUUCUAAGGAUGAAAGAGCUCAAGGUGAAGUAGCAUGUGGAGAAGAUUGCCUUAAUCGUCUCCUCAUGAUUGAAUGUUCCUCUCGAUGUCCAAAUGGAGAUUACUGUUCAAACAGACGGUUUCAGAGAAAACAGCAUGCAGAUGUAGAAGUCAUACUUACAGAAAAGAAAGGCUGGGGCUUAAGGGCUGCUAAGGAUCUUCCUUCGAACACCUUUGUCCUGGAAUACUGUGGAGAGGUACUUGAUCAUAAAGAGUUUAAAGCUCGGGUGAAAGAAUAUGCACGGAACAAAAACAUCCACUACUACUUCAUGGCCCUGAAAAAUGACGAGAUAAUAGAUGCCACUCAAAAAGGGAAUUGCUCUCGUUUCAUGAAUCAUAGCUGUGAACCAAACUGUGAAACCCAGAAAUGGACUGUGAAUGGACAGCUGAGGGUUGGAUUUUUUACCACCAAACUAGUUCCUUCAGGCUCAGAAUUAACUUUUGACUACCAGUUCCAAAGAUAUGGCAAAGAAGCUCAGAAGUGUUUCUGUGGGUCAGCCAACUGCCGGGGCUACUUGGGAGGAGAAAACAGAGUCAGUAUCAGAGCUGCAGGAGGGAAGAUGAAAAAGGAACGCUCUCGAAAGAAGGAUUCAGUGGAUGGAGAACUUGAAGCACUGAUGGAAAAUGGUGAAGGCCUCUCUGAUAAGAACCAGGUUCUUAGUUUAUCCCGGCUCAUGGUUAGAAUUGAAACUUUGGAACAGAAACUUACCUGUCUUAAGCUCAUUCAGAACACACACUCACAGUCCUGCCUCAAGUCAUUUCUGGAACGUCAUGGGUUGUCACUGUUGUGGAUCUGGAUGGCAGAGCUUGGCGACGGCCGGGAAAGUAACCAGAAGCUUCAGGAAGAGAUUAUAAAGACUUUGGAGCAUUUGCCCAUUCCUACUAAAAAUAUGUUGGAAGAAAGCAAAGUACUUCCAAUUAUUCAGCGCUGGUCUCAAACUAAGACUGCUGUUCCUCAGUUAAGUGAAGGAGACGGGUAUUCUAGUGAGAAUACAUCACGUGCUCACACACCGCUUAAUACACCGGACCCUUCUGCCAAGCCGAGCACGGAAAUGGAUACAGAUACUCCCAAGAAACUCAUAUUCCGCAGACUGAAGAUUAUAAGUGAAAAUAGCAUGGACAGUGCAGUCUCGGACGUCACUAGUGAGCUAGAAUGCAAGGAUGGCAAAGAGGACCUUGAUCAGUUAGAGACUGUCACUGUGGAAGAGGAUGAAGAGCUGCAGUCCCAGCAGCUCCUCCCACAGCAGCUGUGCGAGUCCAAAGUUGAGAGUGAAGCCACUAUUGAAGUCAGUAAGUUACCCACAUCUGAACCGGAGGCAGACACGGAGACAGAGCCCAAAGACAGCAAUGGCACAAAACUAGAAGAAACUAUUGCUGAGGAAACACCAUCCCAAGAUGAAGAAGAGGGAGUGUCUGAUGUUGAAAGUGAGAGAAGCCAGGAGCCACCAGAUAAAACAGUGGAUAUAAGUGAUUUGGCUACCAAGUUACUAGACAGUUGGAAAGAUCUAAAGCUUCUCAGGGCAGCAAGGAGCUUGUUAACAUCACCAGCUGACCAUGUGUCUCCUUUUCUCAACUCCAUUUCCAACUUCGUGCUGAAGAAAAACAAGACCCUAGCGUGCAUUCUGUGAAGAAACAGGAAGAUGGUUGGGAAGUUGGAUGAUGCAUGAAAAGUGUAAUAGGUGAAAAGAGGACAGAGGUGGUUAACUCACUGGCGCCGGCCUUGUUUUGGAGGUGUAUCGGAUUCCAAAGAAAAGUCAAACUGAAAAGGAGAGCACAGUAGCUGAACGAGGAAGAGAUGCUGCUGCCUUCAGAGAUCAAACAGCUCCAAAGACUCCUAACAGGUCUAGAGAGAGAGACCCAGACAAGCAGUCUCAAAAUAAAGAGAAAAGGAAACGACGGGGCUCUCUGUCACCACCCUCUUCUGCAUAUGAGCGGGGAACAAAAAGGCCAGAUGACAGAUAUGAUACACCAACUUCUAAAAAGAAAGUACGAAUUAAAGACCGAAACAAACUUUCUACAGAGGAGCGCAGGAAGUUGUUUGAACAAGAGGUGGCACAGAGGGAAGCUCAGAAGCAACAGCAACAGAUGCAGAACUUGGGGAUGACAUCACCACUCCCCUUUGACUCUCUGGGAUAUAAUGCCUCUCAUCACCCCUUUGCUGGGUACCCACCAGGUUACCCCAUGCAAGCCUAUGUGGAUCCCAGCAACCCUAAUGCUGGAAAGGUGCUUCUGCCCACACCUAGCAUGGACCCUGUGUGCUCCCCUGCUCCUUAUGAUCACGCUCAGCCCUUGGUAGGACAUUCUACAGAAUCCCUUGCUGCUCCCCCAUCUGUGCCAGUGGUGCCGCAUGUGGCAGCCUCUGUGGAAGUUUCCAGUUCUCAGUAUGUAGCUCAGAAUGAAAGUGUUGUACACCAAGACUCCAAUGUUCCUGUAAUGCCAGUACAAGCUCCAGGCCCAGUCCAAGGACAGAAUUACAAUGUCUGGGAGUCAAACCAACAGUCUGUCAGUGUACAACAGCAGUAUUCUCCUGCACAAUCUCAAACAACCAUAUAUUAUCAAGGACAGACAUGUUCAACUGUCUAUAGUGUGACCUCGCCUUAUUCACAGACAACUCCUCCAAUUGUGCAGAGUUAUGCCCAGCCAAGUCUUCAGUAUAUCCAGGGACAGCAGAUUUUCACAGCUCACCCACAAGGAGUGGUGGUACAGCCAACUGCAGCCGUGACUUCAAUAGUUGCACCAGGGCAGCCUCAGUCCUUACAGCCACCUGAAAUGGUUGUAACAAAUAAUCUACUGGACCUGCCACCACCCUCCCCUCCAAAACCAAAAACGAUUGUUUUACCUCCCAACUGGAAGACAGCCCGAGACCCUGAGGGGAAGAUCUACUACUACCACGUGAUCACAAGACAGACUCAGUGGGAUCCUCCUACUUGGGAAAGCCCAGGAGAUGAUGCCAGCCUUGAGCAUGAAGCUGAAAUGGACCUGGGAACCCCAACCUAUGAUGAAAACCCCAUGAAGACAUCAAAAAAGCCCAAGACAGCAGAAGCAGACACCUCCAGUGAGCUGGCAAAGAAAAGCAAAGAAGUAUUCAGAAAAGAGAUGUCUCAGUUCAUUGUCCAGUGCCUGAAUCCUUACCGGAAACCUGACUGCAAGGUGGGCAGGAUCACCACCACUGAAGAUUUCAAGCACCUCGCCCGAAAGCUGACUCAUGGAGUUAUGAAUAAGGAGCUGAAGUACUGUAAGAACCCCGAGGACCUGGAGUGCAAUGAGAAUGUGAAACACAAAACCAAGGAGUACAUCAAGAAGUACAUGCAGAAGUUUGGGGCUGUUUACAAACCUAAAGAGGACACUGAACUAGAGUGACCUCAGGCCAGAGUGGAGUAUGAGCGGAAAGGAUGAAUCCUGUGGCUUCUGCCCUACCCCACGGCCAAGGCUGUGCUACUGAUGUGAUGACCCACCAUCCUGAGCAGUUCAAACCUGCAGGUGUCAGCUGUAAGCUGCAAAAGUGAGCUCUGUCUCCAAAUGACCCCUAGUUGUGAGCUGUUGGUGUAACAGUUACAGGCCAUCAGAGGCAGUAGCCUAGGGAAGACCUUGGCCACACGACCCCAUUCUCAAAUCUGGGUCUCCCCCUUGGCGGUGCUGUCAGCGCACAGACCCAUGCGCACCUCCCCCAGAUCCUUUACCCUGACAAUAUGUAUUAUAUUUUAAUGUAUAUGUGAAGAUAUUGAAAAUAAUUUGUUUUUCCUGGUUUUUGUUCUGUUUUUGUUUGCUGUUAGCAUCUAUGUGCUGGAAUCAAGGAAAGACUUUGUGAGGAUAGUAUAAAUUCUCCUGCAAGGUUGGAUUUGUUAUCAUGUAAAUAUCCCAACGCAGGCUGCCUUGUGGUUUGGCCGCCUUGUGCUAUGUUGAUAAGAUUGAUUUACUGCUUCAGAUCACUUUACUUUAUCCAAUUUUUACUGAACUUUUUAUGUAAAAAAUAAAAUCAAUUAAAGAACUUGGAA
Molecule: RNA transcript, 8887 nt
Organism: Mus musculus (house mouse)
Lineage: Eukaryota; Metazoa; Chordata; Mammalia; Rodentia; Muridae
Gene: Setd2
Gene name: SET domain containing 2
Exons: 23
Source: RefSeq, marked validated